Molecule: ribosomal RNA, 109 nt
Filed under: Pantoea vagans
Lineage: Bacteria; Pseudomonadati; Pseudomonadota; Gammaproteobacteria; Enterobacterales; Erwiniaceae
Description: partial 16S ribosomal RNA
Rfam family: Bacterial small subunit ribosomal RNA
Source: RNAcentral
UUAAAUUGAAGAGUUUGAUCAUGGCUCAGAUUGAACGCUGGCGGCAGGCCUAACACAUGCAAGUCGGACGGUAGCACAGAGAGCUUGCUCUUGGGUGACGAGUGGCGGA